RNAcentral lists this ribosomal RNA (308 nucleotides) under Bacillus sp. Expt2_422A8_P2WS_E01. RNAcentral's name for it is "bacterial SSU rRNA". It matches the Rfam family "Bacterial small subunit ribosomal RNA", at positions 1054 to 1363 of the family's 1533-position model. Lineage: Bacteria; Bacillati; Bacillota; Bacilli; Caryophanales; Bacillaceae. The record is from RNAcentral. RNAcentral also lists the same sequence under 11 other names.
GUCAGCUCGUGUCGUGAGAUGUUGGGUUAAGUCCCGCAACGAGCGCAACCCUUGAUCUUAGUUGCCAUCAUUAAGUUGGGCACUCUAAGGUGACUGCCGGUGACAAACCGGAGGAAGGUGGGGAUGACGUCAAAUCAUCAUGCCCCUUAUGACCUGGGCUACACACGUGCUACAAUGGACGGUACAAAGAGCUGCAAGACCGCGAGGUGGAGCUAAUCUCAUAAAACCGUUCUCAGUUCGGAUUGUAGGCUGCAACUCGCCUACAUGAAGCUGGAAUCGCUAGUAAUCGCGGAUCAGCAUGCCGCGGU